This 474-nucleotide ribosomal RNA is filed under the name uncultured bacterium. RNAcentral's name for it is "bacterial SSU rRNA". It matches the Rfam family "Bacterial small subunit ribosomal RNA", at positions 38 to 507 of the family's 1533-position model. The record is from RNAcentral.
GGCGGCAGGCUUAACACAUGCAAGUCGAGCGGUAGCAGAUCUAGCUUGCUAGAUGCUGACGAGCGGCGGACGGGUGAGUAACGCGUAGGAACCUGCCCAGUAGUGGGGGAUAGCCCGGGGAAACUCGGAUUAAUACCGCAUACGCUCUACGGAGGAAAGAGGGGCUUCGGGCUCUCGCUAUUGGAUGGGCCUGCGUGAGAUUAGCUAGUUGGUGAGGUAAUGGCUCACCAAGGCGACGAUCUCUAGCUGGUCUGAGAGGAUGAUCAGCCACACUGGGACUGAGACACGGCCCAGACUCCUACGGGAGGCAGCAGUGGGGAAUAUUGCACAAUGGGCGCAAGCCUGAUGCAGCCAUGCCGCGUGUGUGAAGAAGGCUUUCGGGUUGUAAAGCACUUUCAGUGGGGAGGAAGGCCUCGUAGUUAAUAGCUGCGGGGAUUGAUGUUACCCACAGAAGAAGCACCGGCUAACUCCGUG